Molecule: ribosomal RNA, 32 nt
Filed under: Allium plummerae
Lineage: Eukaryota; Viridiplantae; Streptophyta; Magnoliopsida; Asparagales; Amaryllidaceae
Description: partial 18S ribosomal RNA
Source: RNAcentral
UUCCGUAGGUGAACCUGCGGAAAGGAUCAUUG